UUCUUAUAUGAAAUGAGAAAAGAUUAGCACUCCACUUUAUAAGAAUAGAAAAAGCCUUGGUGAACUUUACAACAUAUAUACGAUUAAGACAUUGCUACGUACUCUGUAAUGUCUAAACAUGUUUUUUU
This 128-nucleotide non-coding RNA is filed under the name Notamacropus eugenii (tammar wallaby). Lineage: Eukaryota; Metazoa; Chordata; Mammalia; Diprotodontia; Macropodidae. The record is from RNAcentral.